GUUUUCAUAGCUUAAAAAAAGCAUAGCUUUGAAGCAGCUAAGAUAGGAUUUCUUCUUUGGAAACA
RNAcentral lists this transfer RNA (65 nucleotides) under Phascolosoma similis. RNAcentral describes it as "tRNA-Phe". Lineage: Eukaryota; Metazoa; Annelida; Sipuncula; Phascolosomatiformes; Phascolosomatidae. The record is from RNAcentral.